Molecule: long non-coding RNA, 879 nt
Organism: Peromyscus californicus insignis
Lineage: Eukaryota; Metazoa; Chordata; Mammalia; Rodentia; Cricetidae
Exons: 4
Source: RefSeq, a predicted model, not a curated record
GCUGGUUAAGCUUUUAGACUUUUGAGCAACAUAAUUCAGCUGAGAUUCAUUCUGGAUGAGGACUCAGAGGCUUCCAGUCUGAGGAAACAGGAUCAGCAGAGGAACUGGCAAGUGUUCCCUGAUCUCCAAGGGGAGGGACCUGAUGGAGACUUCCAAUUUAGACUCUCUCUCAGCAUAAUGUCUGACUGUGGGUCUUUGCACCUGCUCCCAUCUUCUGAGGGAGGAAGCCUCUGUGAUGACACCUAGACCAAGCAAUGAUCUACAACUCCGAGUAAUGGAAGAUGUGAGUCUGAACGGGCUGUCUUUGGCAGCCAGCAGCACUAUUAAGGAUGAUGCAUUAUGCAAGGCCUACUCCACUAACUCCAGGUUAUAUGGCAAUAUGCUCUGAAAAAAGCAACUUAAGGAAAUAAGGGUUUGUUUUCACUCAAAGUUCAUGCUAGAUUCCAUCAUGGCAAGGAAGAGAAGUGGUCAAGAGCUUAAAGCAACUGGCUGUAUCACAUGUACAAUCCAAGAGCAGUGAGGGGUGAGUGCAUGCAUGCCACUGCUCAGUUUCCCUUCUCUAUUUAUGUAGUCCAGUAUCCCAGCCACAGUUAAGACAAUGUAUACAAAUGACCACUUUUUCCUUCUUUUUAACUUAACAUUGCAUUCAGAUUCCUCAGAUUUAUUGUACCAUUCUGCAAUGUUAGGUGUUUCCUUUUUUCCAGAAUUUUACAAAUUAUAGUAAGGGAAUGUAAUCCCUCAGUUGAAACAGACCCAAUAUCAUGCAGUCAUCUAGUUUGUUUCACCUGCAAAACUCCAAUAUAUAUGGCAUCUCAUUAAAUUCUGUUGAUUAAAUAUCUUUUUCUGAUUUCUGUCACAGUUUUACUUAAUAUCUAUAUG